AGGGGCACAGAGGUACUAAGUGGGGCCCAAGUCUGAACCAGGAUCUUUGUACUCUUCACCUUAGACUCUGUCCACAGCCCUCAGCUGCCCUCUCACAGGCCAGGCAAUUUAGAGUCUCAGAAAUAAGAGCAUCCCAAUGCCAGGAAGAAUGUUACAGAUCACCUGUCAGUGACGCAAGCCCCUCAUGUGACCAACAAGGAAACUGUUGCCCAGAGAGGGGAAUGGACAAGCCCAAGGUCACUCAGCCAGCUAUGGCCAAGCUGGACUUUGGAUCCCAGAUCUCUGGAUUCCCCAUCUGCAUCUCUCUCACUGGAUCAAACUGCCUUUAGACCCGUGCACUGGGGUGGGACUGUCCUAUUUGCAGGGCAUGGCUGCUGCCCAGUGGGAGGGGAUAGGAUGGCUACUGGGGCAACCACCGCUUGUCCACCCUGAGGAGAGAAGGUAUAAAAAUAACGCUACCUGCUCUUCCAGUUCAUCAAGUUAUAUGAAACUGUCUUGGGCAUGCCAAAGCAUUUGUAAAUGUAAGUCACUGACAUUUUGUCAACCAGCAAACCCUGAAGAGCUAGAUCUUCCUACAGGCUCAUCCAUGGGCCUCUGUGGGCAACAGAGCACUGGGAUUCAUGGGCCGGGGCUGAAUCCAGCUCCAGAAUCCCCAUGACCCUGCUCAUCUUCCUCUCUCCCUCUCUCCCUCCCUCCCUCCCCUGCCUUCCCUUCUUCUCUCCUUCCUUCCCUCCUCCCUUCCCUCCUUCCUUCCUUCC
Molecule: long non-coding RNA, 758 nt
Filed under: Homo sapiens (human)
Lineage: Eukaryota; Metazoa; Chordata; Mammalia; Primates; Hominidae
Description: HSALNT0029064
Source: RNAcentral